AACGCAGAUGGCACUGUCGGGAUAGGCCUGGCAGUACGUUUCUUUCAGCGUCGUUUCAACAACACUCAGGCUGCGCCUUUACUGGCAUAGUCCUGGACUUUGAGGGUCACGCUCUGUCAUGGAGUGUGUUCCUUUAAAUUGAGCGGAACGACAUGUGCUUAUGCACACUGCACCAAUUACUUGACAGCGACGUGGGUAAUUUCACUUAGGUGAAUCUUUACGUGGCUGUUUCAAAGAAAGGCGUAUGUGCGGCUGAGCGCAAGGGUCUAUCCGGUUAUCGGAGGCUUUUGCCUUCAACAAUCAUUUCGACUCAGACCUGAAAUGAAGCGAGAAUACCCGCCGAACUUAA
RNAcentral lists this unclassified non-coding RNA (349 nucleotides) under uncultured fungus. RNAcentral describes it as "sequence contains ITS2". The record is from RNAcentral. Lineage: Eukaryota; Fungi.